RNAcentral lists this long non-coding RNA (1008 nucleotides) under Gadus morhua (Atlantic cod). Its description in RNAcentral is "lncRNA (ENSGMOG00000032633.1)". The record is from RNAcentral. Lineage: Eukaryota; Metazoa; Chordata; Actinopteri; Gadiformes; Gadidae.
ACCCAAACCUUGGUACCUUGACCCAAACCUGGUGAUCUAGUCCUUGAACCCGGAACUGGAUCCGGACCUCGGACCUUGACCCAACUUCGGUACCUGGACCCGAACCUGGACCCACCUUGAAACCUGGACCUGAACCUGGACCCAAACCUUGGGACCUAGACCCGGACCUGGACCCGACCCUCGGGACCUGUACCCCAUCUUCGGCACCUGGACCCGAACCUGAACCCAAACCGUGGUACCUUGACCCAAACCUGGACCCGGAGCUGGGGUCCUGGACCUCGGGACCUGGAACUGAUCAUGGAACCGAACAUUGGACCUGAACCCGAACCUCGGAACCUGGACCCGGAACUGGAACCGAGCCUCGGGACCUGGACCCAAACCUGGACCCGGACCUGGACCCGAACCUCGGGACCUGGACCCGGACCUUAAGACCUGGACCCAAACCUGGCCAGAAACUCAGGACCUGGACCCCGGACCUUGGGACCCGGACCCGAACCUGGACCCAACCCUUGGUCGUGUUACUGUUUUUUCCUUCAACGACGUUGUGCGUCUACAGAAUGACCUGCAGGACCAUGGAUCUUCUCCAUGGUUCUACUCUCUUGGAUCUUUCAUUCAUGAAUUGUUCAAUGAAAACCUUAUUACACAACCCAAGGCUUAAUCAAAGAGUGUAUUUUUCGGCCAGUAUGCAUUAAUUAAGGUUUAUUGAGAGACAGAGAAAUGCUCUUCUGCAUCCAUUAAAAAGUACUCUUGGAGACCAAAGCGUGCCUUAUCGAUGACUUACCGGUGAACACUUUCAAUCAUAGAGACACCAGCCAGUCAGGGCCAUUCACCAUCAGGGAAACCACAGCCCGUAGUCUACUAGAGUUGUGACGUUCACGAACGAACCGAAUCUAUUGAACGGCUUUUUUUUUUAUCGAUGUCACGUUCACAGCACGCGCACACAAACUCCUCCUACUCCACUGAGACGAGGGCAUGCAGAGUGCACUCGUGGUGGAACGUUGACACGCA